AAAUCCCUCGGGAUGUAAACUUCGCAAGAGUAGGAAGAAUAAAUAGGGGUUAAUACCCCCUAUGAUGACGGUACUAUUUGUAAGCUCCGGCUAACUCCGUGC
Molecule: ribosomal RNA, 102 nt
Filed under: uncultured bacterium
Lineage: Bacteria
Description: partial 16S ribosomal RNA
Source: RNAcentral